RNAcentral lists this ribosomal RNA (232 nucleotides) under Sphingomonas sp. ISO315_OTU921. RNAcentral's name for it is "partial 16S ribosomal RNA". It matches the Rfam family "Bacterial small subunit ribosomal RNA", at positions 29 to 289 of the family's 1533-position model. The record is from RNAcentral. Lineage: Bacteria; Pseudomonadati; Pseudomonadota; Alphaproteobacteria; Sphingomonadales; Sphingomonadaceae.
AUGAACGCUGGCGGCAUGCCUAACACAUGCAAGUCGAACGAAGCCUUCGGGUUUAGUGGCGCACGGGUGCGUAACGCGUGGGAAUCUACCCCUUGGUUCGGAAUAACAGUUGGAAACGACUGCUAAUACCGGAUGAUGACGUAAGUCCAAAGAUUUAUCGCCGAGGGAUGAGCCCGCGUAGGAUUAGGUAGUUGGUGUGGUAAAGGCGCACCAAGCCGACGAUCCUUAGCUG